RNAcentral lists this ribosomal RNA (513 nucleotides) under uncultured bacterium. RNAcentral describes it as "partial 16S ribosomal RNA". It matches the Rfam family "Bacterial small subunit ribosomal RNA", at positions 28 to 523 of the family's 1533-position model. The record is from RNAcentral.
GACGAACGCUGGCGGUAUGCCUAAUACAUGCAAGUCGAGCGAACAGAUGAAGUGCUUGCACUUCUGACGUUAGCGGCGAACGGGUGAGUAACACGUAAGGAAUCUACCUAUAAGCGGGGGAUAACAUUCGGAAACGGGUGCUAAUACCGCAUAAUAUCUUCUUCCGCAUGGAAGAAGAUUGAAAGACGGCUCUGCUGUCACUUAUAGAUGACCUUGCGGUGCAUUAGUUAGUUGGUGGGGUAACGGCCUAUCAAGACGAUGAUGCAUAGCCGACCUGAGAGGGGGAUCGGCCACAUUGGGACUGAGACACGGCCCAAACUCCUACGGGAGGCAGCAGUAGGGAAUCUUCCGCAAUGGGCGAAAGCCUGACGGAGCAAUGCCGCGUGAGUGAAGAAGGCCUUCGGGUCGUAAAACUCUGUUAUAAGAGAAGAACAAAUUGUAGAGUAACUGCUACAGUCUUGACGGUAUCUUAUCAGAAAGCCACGGCUAACUACGUUCCAGCCGCCGCAGUAA